GUGGAUCCUUGGGUCUAGCUCUGGCUCUGGAGGCAGAGAGCAGCCUAAGUCAUCGUGAACAAGUGGCCCCAUCACAGCAGCAGCAGGAGCUCCACGAUGCGCAGGCGGCCACCGAGCCUGAAAAACAAGUUCAGAAAUACAGAAAUACGCCACCACUAUGUCUGCAAAACAAUCAGCCACGUGGAUCCUGGCUGUAACACUGGGCUUAGAGACUGCAGCCACGCAUCCUGGGAGGCAGCACCGCUGCACAGUCAGCCCUCGUGGUCAUCUGAUGUUUUCAGUUACAAGGAAAAACAGGAGCAUAGAGAAACAAAGAGAAUGGCAGAACAGCAAAGGAAUUUUAAAUGGACAAAGAAUUCAUGGUGUUGGCAUUUUAAUGCUAUACUACUGCCUUUUUAAUGGAUUUAUCCAACUGCA
Vidua macroura (Pin-tailed whydah) is the source of this 417-nucleotide long non-coding RNA. RefSeq lists it as uncharacterized. The transcript has 2 exons. The record is from RefSeq and is a predicted model, not a curated record. Lineage: Eukaryota; Metazoa; Chordata; Aves; Passeriformes; Viduidae.